CCAGACACAGCGUGGGAGGGGAAACCGAGACGGAUGAAGUAACUUGUCAAAGGUCACACAGCAGGUUAGUGGAAGAGCCAGACGUAUGGGGCUCAGAAGAGCAGUGCUAAUCCAAUGACCUAACCCCUGGGCAACACUAACUCUAAUACCAGUCCCCUCUGAGGCCUUCCUUCAGGGAUACAAAGCAUCCUGCAGAACCUAAUUUGAAAGCCUUGCCCCGCAGUCUGCACAGACUGCAGCUUUAAUUCACUGCUACUCUAUUUCCUGUUCUGUCGCUGUUCUGAGGUUUCACUAUUAACAUCAAAAUGGAAGGGAAAUUCCCUGCCCCCAGAGUGCUCCCCAUAAAUUUUUUCCGUUGAAACUCACAGACCCAAAUGCCACGCAACAGCAGAGAGGCAAGCGAAAGGAGGAGACCCAGCACGACCAGGCACUGGAGAAAUGGAAGAAGCGUUUUUCCAGCUUUACCAAGAAUUCACACAACUGCAGGAUUUAUGUGCAAAGCAGGCUGAGUUGCUACAGAAGUUGAUUGUGAAGAAGGAACCAAUGACGGACAUGCCAAUUUCGAUGCCAAUCCAGUGCACGGACGACGGGGGAUUAGCACAAUCAGAGAGACUCUUCUUCCAACAGCAGUUACCAAAGGUUCCCAGCUCUAUCCUUUCCAACCCAACAGUUCCUACAUGGCCCAACUCCGCAGUUCUUCGGGACCAGCCACAAGAUGCAGACACGGUUUCUCGUUUUGAUAUUAAGUACCCUCCGAGUGCAGCAAAUGCCAACUUGUUAAGCAGUGCCAAGGGGAAGGCAGAUUUCGCAAUAGCACUUUCCAGCCAGAACCACCACAAACCGCACGUGGGCAAGAAGGCGGCUUGUGACACGCUGUUGAAAAAUUAUACGAUGUUUCCUGCUUUGAAAGCGGACAAGGAACAAUCCACAGCCCCUCCCAUACCUCCAGAGCUUGCUACCUUAAAUCCGGAGGAUGUAGGCUCUUUUCCCAGUUUCUUGGAUCUUUAUGAAGCACCACAAGAUUUACAGACGGAAAGUACUUCCCUUCAAGCAGCAGAAAUUAAAGUUCCUAUAGAAAUACGAGGACCCACACAGACUUCCUGGACUCCAGGAUGGGCGGUAGAAGACAGUCCACUUGGUCACAGCGGGAAUUUUGAACUCCAAGGGUACUCUGCAUACACAGACCUGUGAGUUUUGCCAAGUCAUUUUCCCAGCUGGGGAAGCAGCACAAGGAGACUAUGACAAGCAUCUCAUAGCUCAUAUCGAAUAGGAUUGGUAUCAUCAUGUACUUGUAACCCGCUUACAGAGGAUGGCUUUCCGUCCCCUUUAGUGGCUGGACAACAUAAGGGUUAUGAGCCUGCUAUAGAACUGUUGGAAUAAGUGACUUCUUGACUCAGUGGCUGAAUAAAAACAUUGUGAAAAAACA
This 1426-nucleotide long non-coding RNA is filed under the name Chrysemys picta bellii (western painted turtle). RNAcentral describes it as "lncRNA (ENSCPBG00000018165.1)". Lineage: Eukaryota; Metazoa; Chordata; Testudines; Emydidae. The record is from RNAcentral.